RNAcentral lists this ribosomal RNA (424 nucleotides) under uncultured bacterium. RNAcentral describes it as "SSU rRNA". It matches the Rfam family "Bacterial small subunit ribosomal RNA", at positions 369 to 808 of the family's 1533-position model. The record is from RNAcentral.
CANUGGGGGAAACCCUGNAUGCAGCGACGCCGCGCUGGAGGAAGAAGGUCUUCCGAUUGUAAACUCCUGUUGUUGAGGAAGAUAAUGACGGUACUCAACAAGGAAGUGACGGCUAACUACGUGCCAGCAGCCGCGGUAAAACGUAGGUCACAAGCGUUGUCCGGAAUUACUGGGUGUAAAGGGAGCGCAGGCGGGAAGACAAGUUGGAAGUGAAAUCCAUGGGCUCAACCCAUGAACUGCUUUCAAAACUGUUUUUCUUGAGUAGUGCAGAGGUAGGCGGAAUUCCCGGUGUAGCGGUGGAAUGCGUAGAUAUCGGGAGGAACACCAGUGGCGAAGGCGGCCUACUGGGCACCAACUGACGCUGAGGCUCGAAAGUGUGGGUAGCAAACAGGAUUAGAUACCCUGGUAGUCCAAGGGCGAAUUC